CCACAGCAACCCGAGCCACUGCAGUUGGAAUCUUAACACACUGCACCACGACGGGAACCCCCAACACAGUUUUUUUUGGUAAGAGUAAGCAGGAUCCGUAAGGAUUUUCGCCAAAAGGAACAGCUUGGGAUCUUGGAAGCACAUGGAAUGUACACACACAAUCCAGACAGGAAAGCUAUCAUAUCGAAACGUUCAGAAUCUGAUUAAUUUUAGAAAAAGAAGAAAAAAUAGUAACACAUCCUGCCUCUGCUGCUGACCCUGUUAGAGGGUCACAAGCACUCCCAGACCUGCCCUGGCCACCAGCACGGAAGGGGACGGUCUGAAGCUUUGAUUUGCCUCCAGCCCACACCUCCCCGCAGACGGGAUGGUCGGGACGAGCGCCCUCAGGCAGGCUGGCCGGGCGGGAAGCAAGAGCCUCCUCAGCGUCACCUCCUCACCCGAUGGUCUCAACAUUUGUGUCCAACGCCAGUGGACCCAUGAAUUCUCUACCCUCUUCCCGUGGCCUGCCUCUCUCUUCUCAAGCCAACAGCACACCACGGUGACAGGAAACUCCUAUCAGCCACUAACUCUUCCAGUCUUUUUCAGCUUUGCAUUGGUUUUCUCAGGCGGUUUGUUUUCCCAAAUGUAUUUUGGAGUCAGCUGGUCUAUUUCCCUGAAAAAGUGCCUACCGAGAUCUGGAUGGUGACUGUGUGAUCACUAGAGCGACAUUAGGAACACUGACAGGGUAACUGGAGUGUCCUCUGAUCCGUGACCAUGCCAUUAUUCCCCAUCUUUUAGGGCUUCUGUAAUUUCGUCCAGCAGUGGUCUUGUGUGUGUCUUUUCCUAGACUUACUCUUGAGUGUCGUGUUUGGUGUUGCUAUUGUAGGCGGGGUAUUUUUGUUCUGUUUCCCAGCUCUCUGCUCCCGGGAUAGCAUACAGUUGAUUUUUGUAUGCCAGCCAUUAUCCAGUGGCCUUGCUGAGCUCCCUAUGGGGUCUCAGGAAGUUUCCACAAAGCUCCAAAAACCACUGUCCCAUCACCUGCAAAGGAACUCAUUGUCUACCUCUUUCCUUCCACUCGUAGGCCGGUCAUUUACGUUUCUUCGGGCACAGCUGGAACUUCCCAUAAUUUACAGAAGCACGUGAGGCCAGUAGCUCCCUCACGUUGGUCUCAGUCUCUGGGAAGGUGGUACUAUUUCACCUCUCGCUGUGGUGUUGGCUCUGGCUGGUUUUUUAAUUGGUAUUUUUUCACAGAUUCGGGGUUAGGGCCCACACGCCAAGGCAGCUCGACCAGGCGCCUGAGGAGGUGAGAGCCAUGGGCCUCAGGGACUCGCCCCUGAGGGUCCAGCGAUCGCAUUCAUUCCUUCGCAUCUCAGCAGGUCCUAGGCAAGCUCCUAGACGUGCUCUGCAGUGGAUGCAGGAAACGGCUCCUUCAGUAACAGGUGGCAUUUUAUUCUCCAUCUGCCUGCUUUUUGGCUUUCUUCUGUUACCAGUGUUUUUGCUUUAUUUUUGUUUUAUGUCAGAAAGAAGCCGUUCGGCAAACGCGUAACUUAGCGUCGGCGUCUUUCUUGAGUAACAGUCUUUACAUGUUCUAUCCUGUGAGAUUCCAGACCCUUGAAAUCAUUUAAUAAGUAGAAUGUUUUUCUUCCUGCAAAUAUAUCCCCUUAAAUGUUUAUUCUAGCAUAAAAGCUUUCCUAUGGCAUCAAAUAAACACCAUAGAAUAAUUUCAAUUGAGAAUAGAAAUGCUGUGCUUAUUCUCGUCCGGCCGGUGACUAUAUUUAUGCGUUUAAUAAAUACUUCUGAAGUGGUUCCUAUAUCGUGAGCCAGACACUCUGAUAACUUGGCUAAACAACUUUGUUUUACUGCCUUUAAUUUACAAACGUGAUUAGAUUUUUCUUCCUUGAAAUUAUAUAUGCAAGCCUCUAUUAACUCUAUAUGCAUAUACAUAAUUAUAGAUAAUUACCUUCGGUUCCUAAAAAGUAAUUAAUUAUUAAACUGCAUUGGCCUUUCGAUGAGUCUAGAUAAGAGAUGCGGGAGCUUUAAGAAGAACAUGUUGUCUGUUUGGUGUACUGUAUAAUAACUUAUGAAAAUUUUACGUGUCUCCCCUAAAUUAUAUCCACAAUGUAAAAAAAAAAAAAAAAAAAAAA
Non-coding RNA from Sus scrofa (pig), 2123 nucleotides. Lineage: Eukaryota; Metazoa; Chordata; Mammalia; Artiodactyla; Suidae. The record is from RefSeq and is a predicted model, not a curated record.